GACAAAGGAGAGAUGUGUUGCACUGUUGCACUUCUUGAUGCUGUUAUCGUUGACGUCUUCAACUGUUCAUAUUUUGGCUUCUACACAAGUCAAUAAUUUUAGGUAACCUUCUCUCCUCCCCCCCCAAUGAGGUAAGUAUCUAAAUAGGGUUUGUAUUUAUAGUCACCCGUAAGGCGUGGGUGCAGGGUGAAGCUCGGGUGAGAUUGCAAUGCAAGACUUAGGCCACAGUGACAGCCUGCGUAUAAGAGUGUGGCCUAAAACAGGUGUGUAGUAGCUCAUCCUGUUCUCAUGGGGAUCCACAAGUGGUUCUACAGCUGUCACUACAGGAGCAGCCCAUCAGCUUGCAGGUACCCAGGUGCCCAAGAGGAACCUCCAGUUGCUAGCAAGAUGCUCUGGGAAGUCUUCACAGCAGGGACUCGGUGUUUCGUAAGCGACAACCGGAGCUGCCUGUUGUGAGGAGCCAGCCCUGCUAGGCAUCAUUAGUGGCUCCUCAGGGAGGAACACGUGCAGCCUGGGGUGCAGUCCUGAGGUUCCAGUGUAGAUCUAGGUUCCGAAGAUAAAUAAAAGGAAGUCUUUCAAAAUGAAGAUUGGCCUUUUACUGAAACUGCAAGAUGGACAAGGAUAUCAAUUUAAACCAUUCAUAAAGGUAAUACUUGAAGCAGACAAGAAAACACUCCUUGUUAGGCGUGUACUCUGGAGGGAAGCACAGCAUGUACACCUACAGAGCAUCUGUGUGAUGGACUCACGUGCAUUCUUUGGAAUAGUGAGGAUGUCACUACAGGAUGUGCUGCAGUUAGCCCGUUUCCUCACUCGCUGGAGGGGGCCUUGCUUACACUGUGUUGUUACCCCUUCACUUUCAUUAGAGUCUUCCUCUUAAGUCGUGUGGAAAUAAGAAGGCUACGCCAAUAUGAUGUUAGAUUUGUUCAUGUCUACACCUUGUUUAGCUUCCUUCAUCUGCAACAGAAAAGGACUUAACAGAAUCUGAGAAGUCAAGCUUUGUUCCCUUUGGUACCGGCACAAGCUUAACAUCAAAUAAACAAAAUUAGCGUGCUGCCAGGGCAAA
Long non-coding RNA from Tympanuchus pallidicinctus (lesser prairie-chicken), 1063 nucleotides. RefSeq lists it as uncharacterized. NCBI's taxonomy places the organism in Eukaryota, Metazoa, Chordata, Aves, Galliformes, Phasianidae. The transcript has 3 exons. The record is from RefSeq and is a predicted model, not a curated record.